GAGCUUGUAGCUCGCGAGUGCGGUUAGAGCGUACCUACAAUAGUAAAAUUGAGGUCGGUGGUUCAAGUCCACUCAGGCCUACCA
This 84-nucleotide transfer RNA is filed under the name Escherichia coli. Its description in RNAcentral is "tRNA-OTHER". Lineage: Bacteria; Pseudomonadati; Pseudomonadota; Gammaproteobacteria; Enterobacterales; Enterobacteriaceae. The record is from RNAcentral.